GGGAGGUAGUGACAAUAAAUAACAAUACGGGGCUCAUUUGGGUCUCGUAAUUGGAAUGAGUACAAUUUAAAUCCCUUAACGAGGAACAAUUGGAGGGCAAGUCUGGUGCCAGCAGCCGCGGUAAUUCCAGCUCCAAUAGCGUAUAUUAAAGUUGUUGCAGUUAAAAAGCUCGUAGUUGAACUUCGGGGUCUACCCAUUGGUCAGGCUUAAUUGUCUGUACUGGUGAGAUGAAUCUCUACCUUCUGAGGAACUUUCAUGCCAUUUAUUUGGUGUGAUUGGAAAUCAGGACUGUUACUUUGAAAAAAUUAGAGUGUUUAAAGCAGGCUAACGUCUGAAUACAUUAGCAUGGAAUAAUGAAAUAGGACGGACUGAUUCUAUUUCGUUGGUUUCUAGGAUCACCGUAAUGAUUAAUAGGGAUAGUUGGG
Molecule: ribosomal RNA, 425 nt
Filed under: uncultured Diversisporaceae
Lineage: Eukaryota; Fungi; Glomeromycota; Glomeromycetes; Diversisporales
Description: SSU rRNA
Rfam family: Eukaryotic small subunit ribosomal RNA
Source: RNAcentral